This 249-nucleotide long non-coding RNA is filed under the name Sorghum bicolor (sorghum). RNAcentral's name for it is "long non-coding RNA (SBIC_LNC008206)". Lineage: Eukaryota; Viridiplantae; Streptophyta; Magnoliopsida; Poales; Poaceae. The record is from RNAcentral.
UGUCCCAAGAUUUUCUUUGUAAAAUUACAUAUAGUUGAACAUCUAUUGUUUGUGUUGGAUUGUCUCAUGUAAGAUUCAAGUGUCCAGAUAUUUUUGGACACCCUCUGUCUUGUUAUAUAUGCAGUGUUUGAACAUCUUGCUAUUGUUUUCAAAUAUAACUUCUAUUGCUUCAGUUCCUUGCGUGUGAUGUAUCAACCCAUCAUAUCCAUCCUUUGUCAAUGUUAUUCAAUUUCGAAAUAGAACCGUGGC